AUGGUGGUGAGGUUUGAGCCCCUUCGCGUUCUCAAAAAGAAAUCCCUUAUGUUCCUCAAGCAACAAUGAUUAGCUGACUGUGUCCAAUUGGUAACGAUUUAAAGAAUUUGUUAAAUAAAUUUUGCUCUUUGAAAUAUUUCUCAAAGUUUUCAUUGCUUAACUACAAAUAUUUUCCAAAAAUAAUUAAGUGGAAAAAAGUUUAAAUAAAAUUUUAAUAUAAAACAUUAGCUUGAAUCAAAAAAUAAUUAAUUUAUUAAGCUUAGGUAUAAAUUUCAAUCCAAUUCGAACCAAUUCAGCAUAACUCAAGACGGUUAAAUAAUUGAGUUUUUUUUUU
RNAcentral lists this long non-coding RNA (334 nucleotides) under Phoenix dactylifera (date palm). Its description in RNAcentral is "long non-coding RNA (PDAC_LNC004536)". Lineage: Eukaryota; Viridiplantae; Streptophyta; Magnoliopsida; Arecales; Arecaceae. The record is from RNAcentral.